GUGCGCUGUUUACGUUUGGAUCUGUGCUCUCUCUUUAAAAUACUGAUUUGUUGGUAUAUCUGAGAGGCAGGAUGGAUUGUUUAAUGAAAGUAUAGUUUAUUGCUUAAUGCUUUUUGCAUCCGUUUCUGCAAGCAUUUUAUGUAAAUUUAUGGAAACAUGACUAUAAAGUUCCCAGGACUGCAAAAUAAAACACGAACUAUUUUUGUUUGUUUCUGUCUUUCUGCUUUUGUUUUUCUUUUCAGAUGACUUGGGAUCAAUCUGACUAACUGCAAGUACAAAUCUGGUGGAAAAUCAUCUUCUGCUGUUUCUUGAAUGGAGAAGCCAAAAGAGUUGGUGCAGAUGAUUCCUAAAGGAGUAGUAAAUUUACAUUUGCCUUCAGAAAAUGAGCUACUUUCCUGAAAUGAGUGAGAUCUAGAGGAAAGACUUGCUGGAUAGGAACAUGAGCAGGAUGGUAAAGCUCUUCCCAAAAGAAUUCAACUUCUUUCCCAGACCUGGUGUCUUCCUGCAGAGCCAGUAGCAGAUGAAAGAAACUUAAGACUUAUGUCUGUAAACUGGACUGACUGUCAGGGGAGAAGCAUCUUCAUCACCAGAUCUGUGAAGGACAAAAAAACGGAACAGGAUAUGAUCUGCCAGCUCAACACCUCAAGGGGAUCUCCAGGAUUGGACCCCCAUGGUUUUCUCCAGGAUAAAUCUUCUGGAAAGAAGAAAAGGGAAGAAAAUGAAACCAAAAUCAAAGCUAAGUCAAAUGUGGAUGUGGUCCCAUCUGGGUCCUUC
This 774-nucleotide long non-coding RNA is filed under the name Struthio camelus australis. RNAcentral's name for it is "lncRNA (ENSSCUG00000008447.1)". The record is from RNAcentral. Lineage: Eukaryota; Metazoa; Chordata; Aves; Struthioniformes; Struthionidae.